This 2210-nucleotide ribosomal RNA is filed under the name Gammaproteobacteria bacterium. RNAcentral describes it as "partial 23S ribosomal RNA". It matches the Rfam family "Bacterial large subunit ribosomal RNA", at positions 1 to 2320 of the family's 2925-position model. Lineage: Bacteria; Pseudomonadati; Pseudomonadota; Gammaproteobacteria. The record is from RNAcentral.
UAAAGCGAAUAAGGGCGCAUGGUGGAUGCCUUGGGUCUGAGAGGCGAAGAAGGACGUGGUAAGCUGCGAAAAGCCGGGGGGAGCUGCACACAAGCGAAAUAUCCCCGGGUCUCCGAAUGGGACAACCCACUAUACUGAAGGUAUAGUACUCGAAAGAGAGCCAACCUCCUGAACUGAAACAUCUAAGUAGGGAGAGGAAAAGAAAACAAUAGUGAUUUCCUGAGUAGUGGCGAGCGAAAAGGGAAGAGCCCAAACCGCAGGAGCGAGCUUUUGCGGGGUUGUAGGACUACAUUUAGGAAUUAUCAAGAAGCUGAAUUAUCUGGAAAGAUAAGCCAUAGCAGGUGAAAGCCCUGUAGGCGUACAAUGAUAAGGACGCGUAGUAUCCUGAGUAGUGCGGGACCGGAGGAAUCCUGCAUGAACCAGCCAGCACCAUCUGGUAAGGCUAAAUACUCCUCAGACACCGAUAGUGAACCAGUACCGUAAGGGAAAGGUGAAAAGUACCCCGAAUAGGGGAGUGAAAUAGUACCUGAAACCGUGCGCUUACAAGCGGUCGGAGCUCUCAAGAGUGACGGCGUGCCUUUUGCAUAAUGAGCCUACGAGUUGCUCCUAACUGGCGAGGUUAAGUUCUUCAGUAACGGAGCCGUAGCGAAAGCGAGUCCGAAUAGGGCGAAUAGUCAGUUGGGGCAGACGCGAAACUUUGUGAUCUAUCCAUGAGCAGGUUGAAGUUCCGGUAACACGGAAUGGAGGACCGAACCCGUUAGCGUUGAAAAGCUUUGGGAUGACUUGUGGAUAGGGGUGAAAGGCCAAUCAAACUGAGAGAUAGCUCGUUCUCCCCGAAAUGUUUUUAGGAACAGCCUCAGAUAUAGAAGUUUACCAGAGGUAGAGCUACUGAUUGGGCUAGGGGGUUUCAUCGCCUACCAAACCCUGACAAACUCCGAAUGCUGGUAAAUAUCUCUGGGAGUGAGGCUGCGGGCGCUAAGGUCCGUGGCCGAGAGGGAAAUAACCCAGAUUAGCAACUAAGGCCCCCAAUACGUAGUUAAGUUGAACAAACGAGGUGAGACUUCAAUAACAGCCAGGAUGUUUGCUUGGAAGCAGCAAUUCAUUUAAAGAGUGCGUAACAGCUCACUGGUCGAGAGGUCUUGCACGGAAAAUAAUCGGGCAUCAAACUACGAGCCGAAGUUCUAAAAUUAUACUUUUAGUAUAAUUGGUAGGGGAGCAUUGAAACCAGCGUUGAAGGUGUGGCGUGAGCCAUGUUGGAGCGGUUUCAAAAGAAAAUGUAGGCAUAAGUAACGAUAAAAGGAGUGAAAAACUCCUUCGCCGAAAGUCUAAGGUUUCCUGAUCAACGUUAAUCGGAUCAGGGUUAGUCUGGACCUUAGGAGCACCCGAAAGGGGAAUCUGAUGGGAAGCGGGUUAAUAAUCCCGCACCUGCUAUACGAUGAAAGUGACGCAGUGACGUGGUGGUUGCGAACAGACGGAUGUUCGCCUGAGAGGAAUCUUCGGAGGAAUCGAAACCAUAAAAUUGCUGCCAAGAAAAGCGAGUAUAGCAGCCAGUACCGCAAACCGACACAGGUAGACGGGAUGAGUAUUCUAAGGCGCUCGGGUGAGCCGUGGAGAAGGAACUAGGCAAAUUGACGCUGUAACUUCGGGAUAAAGCGUACCGCUGCGAAGCGGUCUCAGUAAAAUGGUUCAACCAACUGUUUAACAAAAACACAGGGCCCUGCAAAAUCGUAAGAUGACGUAUAGAGCCUGAUACCUGCCCGGUGCCGGAAGGUUAAGGAAGGGGGUUAGGAUUAAACCGAAGCUCUUGACUGAAGCCCCGGUAAACGGCGGCCGUAACUAUAACGGUCCUAAGGUAGCGAAAUUCCUUGUCGGGUAAGUUCCGACCUGCACGAAUGGUGUAACGAGUUGAACACUGUCUCCUCCACGAGCUCGGUGAAAUUGUAGUAUCGGUGAAGAUGCCGGUUACCCGCCACGGGACGGAAAGACCCCGUGAACCUUCACUACAACUUUGCAUUGAUUUUGAGCAACAAAUGUGUAGGAUAGUUGGGAGACUAUGAAGUAGUGUCGCCAGGCAUUAUGGAGUCAACGUUGAAAUACCAACCUUUUGUUGCUUAGAACCUAAUCCCGCCAGAGGCGGGAGACAUUGCAUGGUGGGUAGUUUGACUGGGGUGGUCGCCUCCUAAAAAGUAACGGAGGCUCGCAAAGGUACC